This 253-nucleotide ribosomal RNA is filed under the name uncultured bacterium. RNAcentral describes it as "partial 16S ribosomal RNA". It matches the Rfam family "Bacterial small subunit ribosomal RNA", at positions 524 to 776 of the family's 1533-position model. The record is from RNAcentral.
UACGUAGGGGGCAAGCGUUGUCCGGAAUCAUUGGGCGUAAAGCGCGUGUAGGCGGCUCGGUAAGUCUGCUGUGAAAGUCCAGGGCUCAACCCUGGGAUGCCGGUGGAUACUGUCGAGCUCGAGUCCGGAAGAGGCGAGUGGAAUUCCUGGUGUAGCGGUGAAAUGCGCAGAUAUCAGGAGGAACACCAAUGGCGAAGGCAGCUCGCUGGGACGUGACUGACGCUGAGACGCAAAAGCGUGGGGAGCAAACAGG